Coffea eugenioides is the source of this 585-nucleotide long non-coding RNA. RefSeq lists it as uncharacterized. NCBI's taxonomy places the organism in Eukaryota, Viridiplantae, Streptophyta, Magnoliopsida, Gentianales, Rubiaceae. The transcript has 2 exons. The record is from RefSeq and is a predicted model, not a curated record.
UUUUCUCCAUCGAUUUACCUAAUUCCCAAAUCCUCGCUUCCUCUGCCGACUCCUGCCGAUUCCCAACUCCCAAACUCCAAAUUCCCACUUCCGCCGGCUCCAUCUCCACCAGCUCCACCCAGCUUUUGCAGGGGCUUGAAGCAGAUACAUUGACUGGGGAACCCAUCUUGAGGCUGAUAUUGAUGGAAAUGGAGUUAUGGACUAUGGAGAGUUUGUAGCAGUGACGAUACACUUGCAGAGGAUGGAGAAUGAUGAGCACUUUCGUAGAGCGUUCAUGUUUUUUUGACAAAGACGGAUUUUUGGCUAAUUUGGAUAUGGCAAUUUUUGGUUGUUGUUUGGCCCCUUUUUAUGGCUUAUUUUUAGCUGUGUUUAAAGCUAUAUUUUUGCUGAUUUUUUGUGCUCAAUUUCUCAAUUAGCAGGCUGAUUUUUUGACAUUUUUUUGGCUGCUGUUUUUCUUUCUUUCUUUUUUCUUUUUGGAUAGCUCAUUUGCUGGUUUCUUUUGCUUCUUAAUGUAAUUAGAGUUGAAGAGCAUAAUUACAGCUUGGCUUGACGAUGAAUUGCUGAAGACACAAUUUAUAUUUGAAA